RNAcentral lists this ribosomal RNA (501 nucleotides) under Bifidobacterium pseudocatenulatum. RNAcentral describes it as "bacterial SSU rRNA". It matches the Rfam family "Bacterial small subunit ribosomal RNA", at positions 146 to 659 of the family's 1533-position model. Lineage: Bacteria; Bacillati; Actinomycetota; Actinomycetes; Bifidobacteriales; Bifidobacteriaceae. The record is from RNAcentral.
UCUCCUGGAAACGGGUGGUAAUGCCGGAUGCUCCGACUCCUCGCAUGGGGUGUCGGGAAAGAUUUCAUCGGUAUGGGAUGGGGUCGCGUCCUAUCAGGUAGUCGGCGGGGUAACGGCCCACCGAGCCUACGACGGGUAGCCGGCCUGAGAGGGCGACCGGCCACAUUGGGACUGAGAUACGGCCCAGACUCCUACGGGAGGCAGCAGUGGGGAAUAUUGCACAAUGGGCGCAAGCCUGAUGCAGCGACGCCGCGUGCGGGAUGACGGCCUUCGGGUUGUAAACCGCUUUUGAUCGGGAGCAAGCCUUCGGGUGAGUGUACCUUUCGAAUAAGCACCGGCUAACUACGUGCCAGCAGCCGCGGUAAUACGUAGGGUGCAAGCGUUAUCCGGAAUUAUUGGGCGUAAAGGGCUCGUAGGCGGUUCGUCGCGUCCGGUGUGAAAGUCCAUCGCUUAACGGUGGAUCUGCGCCGGGUACGGGCGGGCUGGAGUGCGGUAGGGGAG